UGGCGACCGGCGCACGGGUGCGUAACGCGUAUCAAACCUGCCUCAUACUCGGGGAUAGCCUUGCGAAAGUAAGAUUAAUACCCGAUGUUGUUAUGUUACCGCAUGGUGAUAUAACCAAAGAUUUAUCGGUAUGAGAUGGUGAUGCGUCCGAUUAGGUAGUAGGCGGGGUAACGGCCCACCUAGCCUUCGAUCGGUAGGGGUUCUGAGAGGAAGGUCCCCCACACUGGAACUGAGACACGGUCCAG
RNAcentral lists this ribosomal RNA (245 nucleotides) under uncultured Bacteroidales bacterium. RNAcentral describes it as "partial 16S ribosomal RNA". It matches the Rfam family "Bacterial small subunit ribosomal RNA", at positions 89 to 334 of the family's 1533-position model. Lineage: Bacteria; Pseudomonadati; Bacteroidota; Bacteroidia; Bacteroidales. The record is from RNAcentral.